GUGCCAGCCGCCGCGGUAAGACAGAGGGUGCAAACGUUGUUCGGAAUUACUGGGCGUAAAGCGCGUGUAGGCAGCCGUGCAAGUCGGGUGUGAAAGCCCUGGGCUCAACCUAGGAAGUGCACUCGAAACUGCAAGGCUGGAGUCCUGGAGAGGAAAGCGGAAUUCUCGGUGUAGAGGUGAAAUUCGUAGAUAUCGAGAGGAACACCGGUGGCGAAGGCGGCUUUCUGGACAGUGACUGACGCUGAGACGCGAAAGCGUGGGGAGCAAACAGGAUUAGAUACCCUCGUAGUCC
Molecule: ribosomal RNA, 292 nt
Filed under: uncultured bacterium
Lineage: Bacteria
Description: partial 16S ribosomal RNA
Rfam family: Bacterial small subunit ribosomal RNA
Source: RNAcentral